This 269-nucleotide unclassified non-coding RNA is filed under the name Hevea brasiliensis (rubber tree). Lineage: Eukaryota; Viridiplantae; Streptophyta; Magnoliopsida; Malpighiales; Euphorbiaceae. The record is from RNAcentral.
GAUCCUCUAUGGAGUUAGCAAUGCCAGGCUUUGGAUUCACAUUCUGUUCAAUGCCUUUGUUGAUGUUCCCAUUAGAAUUACUAAGAAUUGACACUUCAGACUUCGAUUUUGAAAGUUCAAGGCCAUUUUGUUGNNNNNNNNNNNGUCCAACAAUGGAGCUGAAUCUGAUAAACGGUGGGACUGAUUUGUAAUAAGUGGAACCUCCUUUGCAAAAUAUAGAGUCACAAGAGUGCAAAGAGUGAGAAAUACCACUGCAACAAGAAACGCCG